UUCGCAAUGCCCGAAAGGGUGACGAAGCGACGCCGCGUGUGGGAAGAAGGCCUUCGGGUUGUAAACCACUGUCGGGAGUUAGGAAAUGUAAGGAUAUUAAUAGUGUCUUUGUUUGACUAAGGCUCCGGAGGAAGCCACGGCUAACUCUGUGCCAGCAGCCGCGGUAAUACAGAGGCGGCAAGCGUUGUUCGGAAUUAUUGGGCGUAAAGAGCACGUAGGCGGCCUUGUAAGUCAGUUGUGAAAGCCUUCUGCUUAACGGAAGAACAGCAUCCGAUACUGCAAGGCUAGAGUGCGGAAGGGGAGAGUGGAACUUCUGGUGGAGCGGUGAAAUGCGUAGAUAUCAGAAGGAACGCUGGCGGCGAAAGCGGCUCUCUGGCCCGUAACUGACGCUGAGUGUGCGAAAGCUGGGGGAGCAAACGGGAUUAGAUACCCCGGUAGUCCUAGCCGUAAACGAUGGGCACUAAGUAGAGGGGUUUU
Molecule: ribosomal RNA, 477 nt
Filed under: uncultured Planctomycetales bacterium
Lineage: Bacteria; Pseudomonadati; Planctomycetota; Planctomycetia; Planctomycetales
Description: bacterial SSU rRNA
Rfam family: Bacterial small subunit ribosomal RNA
Source: RNAcentral